ACCCGCUGAACUUAAGCAUAUCAAUAAGCGGAGGAAAAGAAACUAACAAGGAUUCCCCUAGUAACUGCGAGUGAAGCGGGAAAAGCUCAAAUUUAAAAUCUGGCGGUCUUUGGCUGUCCGAGUUGUAAUCUAGAGAAGUGUUAUCCGUGCUGGACCGUGUACAAGUCUCCUGGAAUGGAGCGUCAUAGAGGGUGAGAAUCCCGUCUUUGACACGGACUGCCAGGACUUUGUGAUGCGCUCUCAAAGAGUCGAGUUGUUUGGGAAUGCAGCUCAAAAUGGGUGGUAAAUUCCAUCUAAAGCUAAAUAUUGGCGAGAGACCGAUAGCGAACAAGUACCGUGAGGGAAAGAUGAAAAGAACUUUGGAAAGAGAGUUAAACAGUACGUGAAAUUGCUGAAAGGGAAACGCUUGAAGUCAGUCGCGUUGUCCAGGGAUCAACCUUGCUUUUGCUUGGUGCACUUUCUGGUUGACGGGUCAGCAUCAAUUUUGACUAUUGGAAAAAGAUUAGGGGAAUGUGGCAUCUUCGGAUGUGUUAUAGCCCUUGGUUGCAUACAAUGGUUGGGAUUGAGGAACUCAGCACGCCGCAAGGCCGGGUUUUAACCACGUACGUGCUUAGGAUGCUGGCAUAAUGGCUUUAAUCGACCCGUCUUGAAACACGGACCAAGGAGUCUAACAUGCCUGCGAGUGUUUGGGUGGAAAACUCGAGCGCGUAAUGAAAGUGAAAGUUGAGAUCCCUGUCGUGGGGAGCAUCGACGCCCGGACCAGACCUUUUGUGACGGUUCCGCGGUAGAGCAUGUAUGUUGGGACCCGAAAGAUGGUGAACUAUGCCUGAAUAGGGUGAAGCCAGAGGAAACUCUGGUGGAGGCUCGUAGCGAUUCUGACGUGCAAAUCGAUCGUCAAAUUUGGGUAUAGGGGCGAAAGACUAAUCGAACC
This 931-nucleotide ribosomal RNA is filed under the name Cortinarius castaneodiscus. RNAcentral's name for it is "LSU rRNA". It matches the Rfam family "Eukaryotic large subunit ribosomal RNA", at positions 23 to 941 of the family's 3401-position model. Lineage: Eukaryota; Fungi; Basidiomycota; Agaricomycetes; Agaricales; Cortinariaceae. The record is from RNAcentral.